AUUGAACGCUGGCGGAGUGCUUUACACAUGCAAGUCGGGCGGCAGCGCGGGGGCAACCCUGGCGGCGAGCGGCGAACGGGUGAGUAACACAUCGGAACGUACCCUGUCGUGGGGGAUAACGAAUCGAAAGAUUCGCUAAUACCGCAUACGACCUGAGGGUGAAAGCGGGGGAUCGCAAGACCUCGCGCGAGAGGAGCGGCCGAUGGCGGAUUAGCUAGUUGGUGGGGUAAAGGCCCACCAAGGCGACGAUCCGUAGCGGGUCUGAGAGGACGGCCCGCCACACUGGGACUGAGACAGGCCCAGACUCCUACGGGAGGCAGCAGUGGGGGAAUUUUUGGACAAUGGGGGCAACCCCUGAUCCAGCCAUUCCGCGUGAGUGAAGAAGGCCU
Molecule: ribosomal RNA, 389 nt
Filed under: uncultured bacterium
Lineage: Bacteria
Description: bacterial SSU rRNA
Rfam family: Bacterial small subunit ribosomal RNA
Source: RNAcentral